UGAAAAUGUUACCAACAUACCAAAAUGAUUUUAGCAGUCGCUCUUAUCCAGAGCGACUUAAAGGAGUGUUUAGGUUUAAGUGCCCUAGUCGGCUCAGGGAUAAGAACCAGCAGCCGUUGAUUCACUGGUCCAACGCUCGUAACCGCUAAGCUACCAACCUCUCAUAUAAUCUGAAUGCAACUUCACAUUAUUAUCAAGAAAGACAAAAUAAUGGGGGAAACUAAUCUCUAUGUAGUGCCAAUAGUCUGGACACACAGCAUAUCUAGGGAUAGACGCAGUAACGGAGGUCAAUAGUCUGGACACACAGCAUAUCUAGGGAUAGAAGCAGUAACGGAGGUCAAUAGUCUGGACACACAGCAUAUCUAGGGAUAGAAGCAGUAACGAGGUCAAUAGUCUGGACACACAGCAUAUCUAGGGAUAGAAGCAGUAACGGAGGUCAAUAGUCUGGACACACAGCAUAUCUAGGGAUAGAAGCAGUAACGAGGCCAAUAGUCUGGACACACAGCAUAUCUAGGGAUAGAAGCAGUAACGAGGCCAAUAGUCUGGACACACAGCAUAUCUAGGGAUAGACGCAGUAACGAGGCCAAUAGUCUGGACACACAGCAAUGGUACACAGACCGCGGGGGAUAGAAGAUAGAUGCAGUAACGGAGGUCAAUGGUACACAGACCGCGGGGGAUAGAAGAUAGAUGCAGUAACGGAGGACAAUGGAACACAGACCGCGGAGGAUAGAUGCUGUACCAUUAUACUCAGAUUUUUACCUCAACAUAGUGCGGAAGACACAAAGUUACAGUAGCCUAAAAUGCACGCUAAUUUAGCUGUGGGGGGAAAUGAGGAGACUUGGAAUCUUUACCCGGUGUGUUUCAUUGGCAUUUCCAUUGUUUUGGAAGAGUUCCAGGCCUACCUAAUAAUAGAGAGAGAGAGACAGAGAGACUGAGACAGAGACAGAGAGGGAGAGACAGACGGAGAGGGAGAGAAAGGGAGAGACAGACAGAGAGAGACGGAGAGAGGGAGAGAGAGAGAGAGAGACGGAGAGAGAGAGAGACGGAGAGAGAGAGAGAGACAGAGAGAGA
Molecule: long non-coding RNA, 1071 nt
Filed under: Salmo salar (Atlantic salmon)
Lineage: Eukaryota; Metazoa; Chordata; Actinopteri; Salmoniformes; Salmonidae
Description: lncRNA (ENSSSAG00000098568.1)
Source: RNAcentral